Molecule: long non-coding RNA, 694 nt
Filed under: Physcomitrium patens
Lineage: Eukaryota; Viridiplantae; Streptophyta; Bryopsida; Funariales; Funariaceae
Description: long non-coding RNA (PPAT_LNC002407)
Source: RNAcentral
GAUCUGUCAUCAUAUGUUGAAAAAAUUUAAGCUGUAGUGAAUUAUAUUUGCCACAUACUUGGAUUAAGAUUUGAUUUAGGGUUUGGGAUUUUUUUAGGAUUUGGUUUAGGAUUUAGGAUUUGUGUAUGAUUUGAUUUAGGGUUUAGAAUUAGUCUAGGAUUUGAUUUAGGGUUUAUGAUUUGUCUAAGAUUUGGUAUAGAAUUUAAGGUUUGUUUAAGGUUUGAUUUAGGAUUUGAUUUAAGAUCUAAGAUUUGAUCCAAGAUUUGGUUUAGGAUUUAGGAUUUUUCUAGGAUUUGAUUUAGGAUUUGGUUUAGGAUUUAGAAUUUAUUUAGAAUUUUAUUUAUGAUUUGAUUUAGGAUUUAGCAUUUAAUCUAGGAUUUGAUCUAAGAUUUGAUUUAAGAUUUUGUUUAGAGUUUAGAAUUUGUUUAGAAUUGGAUUUAGUAUUUGAUUCAAGGUUUAAGAUUUGUCUAAGGUUUGAUUUAUGAUUUGAUUUAGGAUUUAGAAUUUAUCUAGGAUUAAAUUAGAAUUUGAUUGAGAUUUAUUUAAGAUAUAUUUAUAAUUAUUCUAAUAUUUUUUAAAACUUCUUAAGGAUUCUUUUAAGAUUUGUUGUGGAUUUUCUUUCAAUUCCUUUGAGAUUUCUUAUUAUUUUUUUUGUAAUUUAUUUAAGAUUUCUUUUAAAUUUGAUUAAAUCUUA